AGGGUCCCCGGGGCAGUGGGAUCCCUGGGGAGAGCCUGCGAGGGCAGCCAAGCCCAGGACGGCUGAGAUGGCCGCCCUGAGCCCUGGAGGGCAACACUGGGGCUCUGCCCGGGGAGGAUGGGGGUGAGGAAUGUGCUCCUGAUUUGACAAGGAAUCCUGCGUCCCAAGGAAGAAGGCACAGAUGCCACAGAGCCGCUGUUUGCCUUGCUCUCCUCCCAGCCUGUCACCAUCCCCCUCCACCAGGUGCUGGGAGGGCCCUGUCCUCCCCUGGACCCUGGACCCUAACAUGGAGUCGGUGGGUCUGCAUUAAGAAUUCUGGGUUAUCAACCAUCAUGAGCCGUUUCACAACCAGAGAACCCAAGAUAAACUGGGUCAGCUUUGUGUCACUGUGACAGAAGUACCCCCAAGAGCAACCUGGAGGAGGAGGGUCAGUGGGGCUCGGGGUUCCGAGGUUGGCGAACUCCGCUGCUCUGGGCCCCGGCCAGGCGGAGCGCAUGGAGGAAGGGUGUGGCCGGAGCUCUGCAGCCAGAGAGCAAGGGGAAGGGGCCACCGGGAGGAGGCCCCCUGCCAGGGCUCCCCCAGGGACUCGCCUGCCCCAGCUGCCACCCAGUGGGCCACUCAGACGAGGGUGGACGGCCCAGGAGCGCCCCCUGAGCACUCCUGCCGGGCAGCCAUCUGCAGGGCCACCUCCUAUCCGACGUGGCAGAGCGUGCUAAGUCUUGGCCUCCUAGACUCGGGGCCCAGGUCUGCUUAUACCACGGAUCCAGGUCACCACCCUCAUCAAGAGACUCGCAACGAAGCACCUCACGCGUGGACCCCCUCCCGGGCGGUCACCGUGGCCUAUGGUACUUGGCGGUUUGGGAAGGAAACAGAUCCGUGAAUUUUCUCGCCCCACCGCCCAGAACUGGGGUUGGACCCAGGGUCACCCUCCACUGAGCUGCGCCUCUGGCCCAGGAUCCUGCCCUGAACUUGGGAUCUUCCUGCUUCAGCCUCCAGCCUAGCCGGGACUGUAGCCCUGACUUGAAAAUGGUCGUCUGGACUUUUCUGUAGCAGUAGGUGGCCUCCUAAACCAGUGCAGGACACUCCCCGGCCUUUGGUGAUGGACAGCAGCCAGGACUCUUGGCUGUAAGCAACAGAAACAGGCACUGGAUGGGAGAGGGGGCCAAGAUGGCUGGCCAGCGCCACAGCGGGCUGGUGGUGACGCCCUGCAGCCUCCACUGGCCGUCCAGGCUCACGGCCCUGGAAUGGGCUCUCUUUGUGCCCACUCCUCUCAGAGCACGACUGUGGGACUCCUGGUGACACUGGGGCCUGCACUGCAGCCGUGAGGGGGGCUGGGCACGCAGGUUUAUCCAGCUGCCCCGGUGUCACUCGGUGCCUCUGAAGAUGUGGCCCACACUUUGGAAGGCAGAUGCCACAGUACCCUUCUAGACUGCCCGUGGCCAGUCCUCAGCCCAGCGGUCCACGGCACAAGAUCAGGCAGCGGGGCUGGGCAGGAAGCUGCCCGCAGUGUCCAUGGCUGUCUCCAGAACAUGGCUCCGUUCGCCUCUGAACCCAAUGGUCCUGGGUGGCUGUCCUGAGCACUGCAGGACCGUCAACAGGAGCCUGGCCUCCCCUUCCCGGUGCUGGGUGCACCCCUCCCCAACACGGUGACAAGCCAAGCUUUGUCCAGACGUUGCCAAGUCCCCUUCCAGCUGCGGACCACUGCUGUAAGUGGGGGGCUCCUUCCUUUGGAACGACAUCCAGGAUGUAAACACCAGCUGCUGUGGACAGGACAUCAACUCUAACGGAUCCUCAUGGGAACUGAGCAGUCUGACUCCCAAAUGCAUGUGAAAAAGCGACCCUCAACAUCAGGGUACUGUCCACACACAGCACAGUUCCAUGUGGAGGCAGAUGACCAGCUCAGAGCCCUGCGGGGACCCCACCACCCUGCGAUGGGGACUGGUCUUUGCAGAGGCUUGGCCACGUUCUGUAGUUACCCUUGAUUCCCCCCUUCACCCCACAUCCAAUGGAGGCAGCCCCUGACCCUGACUGUGGCUCACCCACCACUGCAUACCACCUCGGUCUUGGACGGGACUCCUUCUCGUGCCCAGCAAACACUGAGGAGUGUCACAGGAGUGUGGGAACGUGGCCCCCAGGCACUGCCAUCAACAGGGAAAGGAUGGUGGACAUGACGCUGGGUCUCCACCUCCUAGACCCAGGGCACUGAAGGCACUGGACUUUCUCCACCCAAGGCCUCACUGGAGGCCACUGGGCCUCUGUCUUCUCCAGAGAAGGCUCUUGCGGAUCUGCCUGGGGAGAGGAGGGAAGUCCUGGGGUGGCAGCCGCACUCUGGGCAGGUGGUGUGCUGCCCGGUAAAUGCAAACUUGGUUCACAGCUAGGUGGAGCUCCCUGGCCUCUCUCUCCCCUAGAGCUCCUGCCACAACCCGCCCCACUCAUUCCUGUCCCCGGCAAGUUCAGCGACUUUCAGAGAAGACUUUCAAGUCCUGCAGGGGCGAGCGCCUCUCUGCACCUCACCUGCAGCUCCCUCCCCUGUCUGGGCCCCAAAGGUUGAAGGGCGCGUCCAUGCACCCUGCAAAGCCAGAAGCCACAGGAGAGACGGACACGCUGGCCGAAUCCCACACACAGAGGACACCCUGGGGGAGACAUCCACAAGGCAAGUCCAGCAGCCAGUUCUAACUUGUGGACCUCUUCUACACAUCUAAGGAGGCACUAACCAGAGAGAAUCGGGAAGGGACACAAACACUGAGGAGGUGGGUCACAGGAGCUGCCCUGGAGAGGUGUGUCUUCCCUGCAACCCCUUCCCCAAACCCUCUGCUCCCUGGCCAUCAUGCACAUGCAACCCCUCGCCCUCCCACCAUGAUGCCCAGAGCAACGGAGCUGGCCCCCGUGGACUGAGUCUCUGCAACUGUGAGCCCAAACACACUCCUCGUCCAGGUUGGUCUAGUUGGUAUUUUGGUCAAUGCAGAGCUAACACAGCUGUCCACGCAGCGUUCCCUGGGUCAGGCAUGGCAAGCUGUCUGGAGAGGCGUUCAGGGGCACAGGCCACAUGCAGGGACACCCCUUCACACAAGGACUGGAGCGUCCUGGGAUUUGGGUGUCCUGGAACCAGUGCCCCAGGCACCGAGGGCGGCUGCGCUGUGCUCCCUUGGGUGUGUUUCCUGGAGGGUGACUGACGGUACCUUGGCUGGGGACACGGGGAUCAGUACCCUCACAGUGGUGGGCUUGGGGAAGGGACCAGGAGACAGGGAGGAAACUUCCUUUAUGUCUGUAUAUUGUUUCUAUUUCUUUGCAUGUUUGAUCUGUAAGAAAAAGAGCUGUGACCAGCACACGGAGGUCCCCGUCUGUCCUGGGCUGGCCGCUGUUGGUGCUCUGGGGAGCGGGUCUGUGUCCCUGGUGCUGUGCUCCUUGAGUCCCUGCUCCCUGAACGCGUGUUCUAGCACUGGACAGAGAACCUUCUAGGAACGACCUGCUCCGUGGCUGGAUCCUCGUGCCCUGGGACUGGGGCUUCGUGGAGGAGCGUAUGGGGCCCUGACCCACCACCACUGUGUCCGCCCAGCCUCUGGCACUGGCCCCUUCCCUGCUCUCCACGUGGGCCUCCCUGCCUGCAGGUGUGCUGGACGCACCGUCUCUGCAGUCACUAAAACACAAAAUCAGGACAUACCAUUCUUUCCUGAGACUGUCUUUUCUUUCCAACUUGACAUGAGUGCAGGUGUCCAGCCCACUGACCAACAGUUAAAUGGACUCCCUCCUCACCUCCCUUGGCCCCAACUCCCAUCUUCUGAAGCGUCCCCCUAACUGCCCUGAGCGUCCCCAGAGACCUGAGUGCUGCAGUCAAGGUGAGGAGCAGGUGUGCCAGCCACGUCCUCAAUGCUGCCUCGAGAGGCCCGGUGUCCAGGGGACCUCGCGGAUGCACCCUCCCUCUCCCAGAGGCCUGCUCUGCCAGACCCAGUGUGCGGGGGAGGGCUGCCGGGUGGAAGAGGGCCUCUGGAACCCGGGCUCUGGGCCUGGCCACCUCCCCACAGGCAAGAACACCUGCCGGGCUGGCCACGGCCUCAGACCCAGUGCCCCGAGGCCCGGCUGAGGACGCUACAGGUGAAGGGCACAGAGCAGCUGAAGAAAGCAGAGGCCUGGCUGGGGUGUCCUGAGGACGCCACAGAUGAGCUGCCUGAGGGCGGCUCCGUGUCCCUGUGCCCGGGCUCUUGUCUCCCAGGCAGGCAGCCUGCCAGGGGAACGGGACAGACAGUCUGCCCGAGGGCACCCAGGACCUGGCAGUGGCCACAGUGUCUGGCCGUGUCUCCAGAGCAGUGGUCCCAUCCGAGAGUCCUUGGGUCCGAGGAGCCAAACCCCUGCACUGGCCAUGUCAGCUGCUCGGUACUGACCAGACCUGGCCUGUGGGCUGCCUGGAGAGGAGGCCACAGCGCCCCGUCGCCCAUGUCACCUGGCCUCGUUGUCUCCCAGCACUAACGUGCCAUCGCCAGCUGCAAGGCCACACCUCAGUGACCACGCACCCCAGCCUCUCUCCUGGGCCUAGUACAAAACAAGAGGGGGUUUGAACCGGGGCUCGGCCCCUGCCAGGGUGCCCGGGAGACCCCGUCCUGAAGCCCUCCCAGCUGAAUGGCCACUGCUUCCCCCAGGAGGCCCUGGGCCUCGCCUUCCACAGUGUCCUGCUGGUCGGCUGGAACAAACUCCUCGCUGGCCAUCAAUCUCCCAGACAGCCCCGAGGGUGGGAAAGACCCAUAAAGCUCACACUUGAAUAGUGCCCACCAGGCCCUUCCCCUUGUAAACCCCACAACCCAGCUGGAGGGCCAUGGUCAUUGUGCACAGUGACAGUGACCAGGAGGGGUGGAGGCCCUGCCCCCCGCCGAGCUCGGCCUCUGGGAACUGCCCUGGGAGGCCCCCGCAGCCCACCCGGACCCCACCCCCACUCCCAGACGUCUGGCACCUGACCUUGGGCCUGGGCGGCUCUUAGUGCUCUCAGCUUGGUGUCCCCACCUGUGGAGUCCUCCUGUGGGUGGCCCUCGCAGCAGGGCCUGAGAUAGUCCACCAGAACAUCCCAAGGCUGGCUCCCCACAAAGCCACCGUGCUCUGAAGCCAGUGUUCCUUCUGGGGACCAAGUGUGACAGGCCCCGCCCGCCCACAGCCGAGCACCCAGGCUGUGUGGAAGGUGCUGCCGGGUCAGAGGAGCCUCCCCGGCGGGGCGCCUUGUUCACAGGCUGACCCCGUCCAGGCAGCACCCGCCUCACGGUGGCUCCCUCCACAGCACCGGGAGGAUCUUGGAUGUCUCUGCUCCAGGUGAGGGCACCUUGCUUGUGCUGUAGACGACUACUUUGAUGUUUUGAUUUGA
RNAcentral lists this long non-coding RNA (5344 nucleotides) under Marmota monax (woodchuck). Lineage: Eukaryota; Metazoa; Chordata; Mammalia; Rodentia; Sciuridae. The record is from RNAcentral.